RNAcentral lists this long non-coding RNA (543 nucleotides) under Homo sapiens (human). RNAcentral describes it as "non-protein coding lnc-IRGC-6:1". The record is from RNAcentral. Lineage: Eukaryota; Metazoa; Chordata; Mammalia; Primates; Hominidae.
ACCAUGAGACUCAGCUCCUGGAGGACAGAGCCCUCUGAUUCAUGUCUGCAGCCCAGCUCCUGGCUCAGGGCCUUCAGGAAGUGUUGAUUUGGUGAGGGGGGUGCAAAACCUGCCAGAAGUGGGGGCAUCCAGGCUUGAGCCCCACAGUGGAGAAUGAGGGCAGGCGGGCCAGGGCAGAUCCAAGAUAAUUCAGAACACAGGAUCUCUUGUAUGUUCUCCUAGGUUCUUAGUCAAAAGCCCCUUUUCACUGGUUCUGACCUUGCCUCAGCUGAAAUCAACAUGGGAUGGCUCAGCUGAAACCAACAUGGGGUGGCUUCAGGCCAUCCCAGGCAUUCAGAGGGUUCGUUUAAUGACAUUCACUGAGGCCCUGUCUAUGUCAGGCCCUUGGUGUUGAAGACGCAAUCAUGAACAAAAAUGAAAAUACAAUGUGAUGGUCUCCUGAGUGUCUGAAUGCGCCAGGUGGCUAAGUGCUGGGGCUCUGGGGUCAGGCUGCCUGGGUCACAUCCUGGCUCCAAACUGCUUUGCUAUGGCUUCGGGCAGUUA